Molecule: long non-coding RNA, 300 nt
Filed under: Lathyrus oleraceus (garden pea)
Lineage: Eukaryota; Viridiplantae; Streptophyta; Magnoliopsida; Fabales; Fabaceae
Description: Pisum sativum (pea) long non-coding RNA (PSAT_LNC002142)
Source: RNAcentral
UUCCCAUUUCGUCCGUUGACGUAUGGUUGUAUCCCUUCCAGUCAUUCAUUAAUGUUUGGUUACCUCUCCGUUGGUCUUGGUAAACGUUGAGUUUUUCCCAUUUCGUCCGUUGACGUAUGGUUGUGUCCCUUCCAGUCAUUCACUAAUGUCUGGUUACCUCUCCGUUGGUCUUGGUAAACGUUGAGUUUUUCCCAUUUCGUCCAUUGACGUAUGGUUGUAUCCCUUCCAGUUAUUCAAAUAACGUCUGACUACCUCUCCGUUGGUCCCGAUAAACGUCGAGUUUUUCCUAGUUGUCCGUUG